Long non-coding RNA from Astyanax mexicanus (Mexican tetra), 2109 nucleotides. RefSeq lists it as uncharacterized. The record is from RefSeq and is a predicted model, not a curated record. The transcript has 3 exons. NCBI's taxonomy places the organism in Eukaryota, Metazoa, Chordata, Actinopteri, Characiformes, Acestrorhamphidae.
CUACUGAGGAGGAGCUUGCGCGAGCGCACCUCAUUCGGCUCUCCCACACUCUGAGGAGAUUUACACCACUUGACAAACCUGUGAGCUCUACAGCAUCUUCUACAACGCAUUGACCCACUCUUCCCUAGCACCUCACCCGAUUGACCAACGCUCUCCUAACACCACGCCUGACCAACGCUCCCCUAACACACACACAUUGACCAACGCUCCCCUAACACCACGCCUGACCAACGCUCCUAUAACACCACGCCUGACCAACGCUCUCCUAACACCACACCUGACCAACGCUCCUAUAACACCACGCCUGACCAACGCUCCCCUAACACACACACAUUGACCAACGCUCCCCUAACACCACGCCUGACCAACGCUCCUAUAACACCACGCCUGACCAACGCUCUCCUAACACCACACCUGACCAACGCUCCUAUAACACCACACCUGACCAACGCUCCUAUAACACCACGCCUGACCAACGCUCUCCUAACACCACACCUGACGAACGCUCCUAUAACACCACGCCUGACCAAUGCUCCCCUAACACACACACAUUGACCCACGCUCCCCUAACACCACGCCUGACCCACAUCACGAAUUGACCCACGCUCCCCAAACAUCACAAAUUGACCCACGCUCCCCAAACAUCACGAAUUGACCCACGCUCCCCAAACAUCACGAAUUGACCCACGCUCCCCAAACAUCACGAAUUGACCCACGCUCCCCAAACAUCACGAAUUGACCCACGCUCCCCAAACAUCACGAAUUGACCCACGCUCCCCAAACAUCACGAAUUGACCCACGCUCCCCUAACACCACGCCUGACCCACGCUCCCCUAACAUCACAAAUUGACCCACGCUCCCCAAACAUCACGAAUUGACCCACGCUCCCCUAACACACACACAUUGACCCACGCUCCCCAAACAUCACGAAUUGACCCACGCUCCCCAAACAUCACGAAUUGACCCACGCUCCCCUAACACACACACAUUGACCCACGCUCCCCUAACACCACGCCUGACCAACGCUCCCCUAACAUCACGAAUUGACCCACGCUCCCCAAACAUCACAAAUUGACCCACGCUCCCCUAACAUCACAAAUUGACCCACGCUCCCCUAACAUCACGAAUUGACCCACGCUCCCCAAACAUCACGAAUUGACCCACGCUCCCCAAACAUCACGAAUUGACCCACGCUCCCCAAACAUCACGAAUUGACCCACGCUCCCCAAACAUCACGAAUUGACCCACGCUCCCCUAACACCACGCCUGACCAACGCUCCCCUAACAUCACGAAUUGACCCACGCUCCCCAAACAUCACGAAUUGACCCACGCUCCCCAAACAUCACGAAUUGACCCACGCUCCCCUAACAUCACGAAUUGACCCACGCUCCCCAAACAUCACGAAUUGACCCACGCUCCCCAAACAUCACGAAUUGACCCACGCUCCCCAAACAUCACGAAUUGACCCACGCUCCCCUAACACCACGCCUGACCAACGCUCCCCUAACAUCACGAAUUGACCCACGCUCCCCAAACAUCACGAAUUGACCCACGCUCCCCAAACAUCACGAAUUGACCCACGCUCCCCAAACAUCACGAAUUGACCCACGCUCCCCAAACAUCACGAAUUGACCCACGCUCCCCAAACAUCACGAAUUGACCCACGCUCCCCUAACACCACAAAUUGACCCACGCUCCCCUAACACCACGCCUGACCAACGCUCCCCUAACAUCACGAAUUGACCCACGCUCCCCAAACAUCACGAAUUGACCCACGCUCCCCAAACAUCACGAAUUGACCCACGCUCCCCAAACAUCACGAAUUGACCCACGCUCCCCUAAUACACACACAUUGACCCACGCUCCCCUAACACCACGCCUGACCAACGCUCCCCAAACAUCACAAAUUGACCCACGCUCCCCUAACAUCACCUCCAUAACCUGCUCUGAACCCUGUUUUUACUGUUGCAAAUUUCCUGUUGUCACUUUUUUACAGGUCUGACAUUUUCAACAGACUGUUGAACCUACCUCAUCUACAGUUGAAGACAGAAACUUCACCCAUAAUUUUUUUCAUAAAUUAUUAAAAGCCUAUUCAUUUUGACAACACA